This is a non-coding RNA of Vicugna pacos (alpaca), 105 nucleotides long. The record is from RefSeq and is a predicted model, not a curated record. NCBI's taxonomy places the organism in Eukaryota, Metazoa, Chordata, Mammalia, Artiodactyla, Camelidae.
CUGUGUGUUCCCAACAACCUAGGUGAUUGACGGUUUUCACAUACACUUAACUCUCAGAUUUGAGCACGAGGAGAGAAGUUCGUUCAUCUAGCAUAAAGGGAAUGG